Molecule: ribosomal RNA, 244 nt
Filed under: uncultured bacterium
Lineage: Bacteria
Description: partial 16S ribosomal RNA
Rfam family: Bacterial small subunit ribosomal RNA
Source: RNAcentral
UACGUAGGGUGCAAGCGUUAAUCGGAAUUACUGGGCGUAAAGCGUGCGCAGGCGGUGAUGUAAGACAGGGUGUGAAAUCCCCGGGCUUAACCUGGGAACUGCAUUUGUGACUGCAUCGCUGGAGUGCGGCAGAGGGGGAUGGAAUUCCGCGUGUAGCAGUGAAAUGCGUAGAUAUGCGGAGGAACACCGAUGGCGAAGGCAAUCCCCUGGACCUGUACUGACGCUCAUGCACGAAAGCGUGGGG